UAGGGAAUCUUCGGCAAUGGGGGGAACCCUGACCGAGCAACGCCGCGUGAGUGAAGAAGGUUUUCGGAUCGUAAAGCUCUGUUGUUAAGGAAGAACGAGUGUGAGAAUGGAAAGUUCAUGCUGUGACGGUACUUAACCAGAAAGGGACGGCUAACUACGUGCCAGCAGCCGCGGUAAUACGUAGGUGACAAGCGUUGUCCGGAAUUAUUGGGCGUAAAGCGCGCGCAGGUGGUUUAGAAAGUCUGAUGUGAAAGCCCACGGCUCAACCGUGGAGGGUCAUUGGAAACUAAUAAACUUGAGUGCAGGAGAGAAAAGUGGAAUUCCUAGUGUAGCGGUGAAAUGCGUAGAGAUUAGGAGGAACACCGGUGGCGAAAGCGGCUUUUUGGCCUGCAACUGACACUGAGGCGCGAAAGCGUGGGGAGCAAACAGG
RNAcentral lists this ribosomal RNA (430 nucleotides) under Verrucomicrobiota bacterium. RNAcentral's name for it is "Verrucomicrobia bacterium partial 16S ribosomal RNA". It matches the Rfam family "Bacterial small subunit ribosomal RNA", at positions 355 to 776 of the family's 1533-position model. The record is from RNAcentral. Lineage: Bacteria; Pseudomonadati; Verrucomicrobiota.